RNAcentral lists this ribosomal RNA (497 nucleotides) under uncultured bacterium. Its description in RNAcentral is "partial 16S ribosomal RNA". It matches the Rfam family "Bacterial small subunit ribosomal RNA", at positions 28 to 507 of the family's 1533-position model. The record is from RNAcentral.
GAUGAACGCUGGCGGCGUGCCUAAUACAUGCAAGUCGAGCGAACAGACGAGGAGCUUGCUCCUCUGACGUUAGCGGCGGACGGGUGAGUAACACGUGGAUAACCUACCUAUAAGACUGGGAUAACUUCGGGAAACCGGAGCUAAUACCGGAUAAUAUAUUGAACCGCAUGGUUCAAUAGUGAAAGACGGUUUUGCUGUCACUUAUAGAUGGAUCCGCGCCGCUUUAGCUAGUUGGUAAGGUAACGGCUUACCAAGGCAACGAUGCGUAGCCGACCUGAGAGGGUGAUCGGCCACACUGGAACUGAGACACGGUCCAGACUCCUACGGGAGGCAGCAGUAGGGAAUCUUCCGCAAUGGGCGAAAGCCUGACGGAGCAACGCCGCGUGAGUGAUGAAGGUCUUCGGAUCGGAAAACUCUGUUAUUAGGGAAGAACAAAUGUGUAAGUAACUAUGCACGUCUUGACGGUACCUAAUCAGAAAGCCACGGCUAACUACGUG